RNAcentral lists this unclassified non-coding RNA (14311 nucleotides) under Leishmania donovani. Its description in RNAcentral is "gene:LdHU3.34.6300(CDS-product:dynein_heavy_chain _putative)". Lineage: Eukaryota; Euglenozoa; Kinetoplastea; Trypanosomatida; Trypanosomatidae. The record is from RNAcentral.
UGGUGCUCGACUUCUGCUCCUUCCACCCACUCCGUGCCGGUGCCGCUUCGCAUCGCUUUUGCGUACACGGUUUUGUUGUGGUUCUGUUUUGCGUGUGUUUUUCUUGUUGGCUUCUCGUGUCGGAACGCCUCCACCUCCCCCUCCCCCCGACGUGACCGCUGCACUGCGCGCAUCGUAGCACCAAGGGAAAACAGCGCUUCACAGCACGCCGAGCAGCAAAGGGAGCAACGCCACCCUCACUCGUCCACGUGUGCAACCCCUCCCUUCCUGGGCGUGUGUCGUAAGCGGUUUCUUCGUGCGUUCGACGAUCACGUAGAGCGACGCGUGCCGUGAAGCACCCCUCGCCCUGCCCUGCCUGCCCCCGCUCCACUUCAUCUCUCCUUCCCUUUCACUUGGUGCCCUCACGACCUUCCGCAGCACAACCAUCACCGUGGAUCUUCGACGAAGACCCGCCGCGCACAGUGGCGCUGACCAGUCUUUGCGUGCCUCGCUCGCAGAUGAGUCUCUCCCAGGCGACGAAGGACUGCGUCACGGCAGUCCGCAAAGCCGUCAAGAAGCGCCUAUGUGGGGAUGUUGUGAGCGAGGAGAGGAUCGGCGCAGUCCUCCAGCUGCAGCUGCCGGCGACCGCCGCAUCCGAGGCGGAGGUCGCUCAAAUACUACUCUCCGCGAUGGUCAAGGCCGCCUGCGGGGCACAGAGGGGCUCUACAAAGCUGCCCAAUGGAGAGGUCAUCGUGGACGGCACCGCCCCACUUGCCCUGCACUCCUUUGCGGAGGUGGUGCGCGUGAGCACAUUUCGUUUCCAGGAUCUGCCAGCGGGCAACCCCGCUCUACGUCUGGUGGCCGAAGCCACGUACACACGCCACCUCCAACGUUCAUCCGAGCUUUCGGUACAGUGCAUUCACAACUUUCCGCCAUGCCUUCUGGGCGAGGCACUCUCGCGCUUCGACGUGAGCGUCGGCGGCUAUGUUGUGCUGUCGCUCUCGGUGGACAAAGACCGUGGCAUUCAGCUGCGCCUUUUCACCACCGCCAUCGAUGCAGUGAUGGCGUGCAUGUGCAGCACCUCCUUCACAGCAGAGGUGCUGCCGCGAAAGUGGGCAAGCCGCGACACGCUGCAGCCGCCUCAGCUCCUCGAGAUGCUGGAGGAGGUGCAGAUGGCCAUUUCCGAGUACUGGAACGACAGCGCGCAGGACGACCACGCCCGCUCGGUCGCGGUGUUUCUGAUGAGGUCCGUCGGCACUGACAUUUGCGAGUACUUCGGCACCAAGGCAGCGGCCGCCGGCGGGCUGUUUCGCGGCGAAAAGAAGGUGCUCGAGGAGGCACACGUGUGCUGCGAGGAAUGGCUGAACACGUGCGCGAGGCUGACCACGAUCGACUGGGGAGCCGUGUGGAGGGACCGAUACGAAGAUGCGGCCCUCGUGUGCAUUCGGGAUCGCCUGCGCACGACCCUCGCGUUGCGUGGCAUUAUCGAAGAGAUUCGCGAGCUGCUUGGCGCCAGCGACUUCCGUGCCCUGAAGACGGACGCACUCUGGGACGUUUUCGACGAUGUAGAUGUGAUGGAUCCCUCGAGCGGGGCUCAGAGUGAGUGGGGCGGCGCCCUGGCCGCCUACUACCGCCGCCUCGAGCCGAUCGAGCAACGAUGCGCCGGUGUUCUGCGUGACUUGUUUGCCACCCGCGCCGGACUUGCGCCGCAGGCUAUCUUGCACGAGUUCUCUGGCUACUGCCACCUCAUGAAGCGCCCUAUCAUCUCGAGGGAGCUGGUGACGGAGCGAGAUGGGCUGCUAGCCAAGCUGAACGAUCGAUUGGACGCGAUUCGACUAGAGUACACGCGUCGUGCCGAGAGCACCGAGGACGAGCUCGUGCUCGAGGAGGAGGACCGCCGCUGCCAGGCGGGACGCUUUUUCCCUGGUGUCGUGAACAACAUAAUCUGGCUCCGCCAGCUGCGUGGGCGUGUGGAGGAGAACAUCGCGAUGUGCACCUCCAUCCUCGUCGACCUGCCGACGGCGAGCGCGUUCGUGGCGUCAGCGAAUCAGCUGCUGGACGAGCUGCACGACUAUGAGCAGGAAUGCUACCGAAACUGGGUGGCGGAUGUGGAGGACAAGAGCGACGCGCUGACACUGGACGCGGACGCCCCUUUGAUGGAAAUUGACGCGAAGGGGCGGGUGGAUGUCAACUACGCGGAGCGGCUGGUGCAGCUCCUGAAGGAGGUGCGAGUGCUCGGCGCCAUCGGCUUCCACAUUCCCCGCACCAUCGCUCGUCUGGCGCAGCAAGGGGCGCAGUUUCUGCCGAUGGGCGUCGCCCUGAAGCAGGUCGCUAACACGUACAACUCCAUGGCCGCGGACAUCAUCCCUUGCACGCGCGCCAUGCUACUGGAGCCUGCCGUCAGCUUCGAGAAAAUUAUCACGGCCAGCGGCGAAAAGAAGCUCACGUGGCGCAGCAAGAAAGAGGCUGCGCGCUUCAUUGAGCGGCUGCAGAGCGCUGCUCAGUCCCUGACGGAGUUCAACCGCCGUCUGCACAAGACGCACCACGAGAUUGAAGGGAUGGUGGUGGAGCUCCUCGACAUCAGCCUGCUCCGCUCCCGUGAUCGCUGGCUCAGCAAAGCGCGGCAGAUUCGAGAGAAGAUAGAGACCUCGGGCUUUCAAAACACGGAGUCGUGGCGGCAUUUCUGGGAUAUGCAGCUCUACAAGGCGAUGGAGGCGCAGUAUCAGCUGGGUCUCGAGUCCCUCAACGAGGCUGUCGAGGAGAUCAAGGCCGACAUCGUCUACCACGCCGAAAGUGGACAGGCGGCUCUGCGCCCUCCCCUGGAGGUACUCCGGCUGCAGUACUACCAGCGCAUCAGCGACUUUAUCACCUUUCCGCGCCGCUUCCAAGGGUGCGGCAAGGAGGGCGUGUUUCACGAGAUGCCGUCGCGCAACGCGCACGGCAUCUACGUGGUGCUGCAGUCUGCAGGUCAGCUCUUCAAGCGCGUGAUGCACGAGCUCAAGCGGUUCUCGCCGUACCUCGUCAUUGGCCGCUGCGGCCUCGACGGCAACCCGAGUCUCGAGGAGAUCGUCGGGAAGUCGCUCACCGAGGUGCAGCACUGGGAGCAGAGUGUGCGACUGCUCAAGCAGAAGAGCAAGGACAUCAACAGCGAGGACCUGUUCAUCCGCUGCGGCUGCAUCACGCUGUGCACGGCGGCCAUCAAAGGCGCCGUCGAGGAUCACCUUGUCCGUCUCACGGACGCCCUCAAGGUGACGCUUAAGCAGAGCGCCGAGAAGCACCUGAAUUCCAUCAAUGACUACCUUGCAAAAGCGGCCAAGUGUCUAGACAGCAAGAUGACGAAGCUGGGCGAGAUCGGUCAGGCCAACCUGCUCUACGGCGAGCUCAUGGAGCAGCGCCCUGCCAUGGAGGUGGAGUUCUACCACUUCUACAACAAAAACGUACUGCUGCAGAACAUGACCGGCACUCCGGGGCUCGACUUCACCAAGACAAAGGAUCGCUGGACGAAUUUCAUGAAGCGCCUCGACUCGCACGAAAAGGAGCUCGAUGAGCAGCUGAAUCGCAUACAGGAGAACGUCUCGAGCUCGGUCAGGGAGUGGGAGAGGGACUCCGUCCGCUUCACGACGCGCUGGCACGAGCUCAAGCCGAAGGAACUGACGGCGCACAAGCCGCUGGCGUUCGUGAUGAAGAAGAAGGAAGAGCUGCAAGCACUCAAGGAGCGCGGGGAGGAGUGCAAGAAGCAGUGUGAGUACUUUCAUCUUGACGAGCCGGACCUGCAGCCGAUCGAGGACGCGGAGGCCGACAUAGAGGACUACAUCAAAAUGUGGAGCAUGCUGGGCGACUUCCAGCUGCAGGUGCAGGAGCUGUGCAAGGAGCCGUGGAUCAGCUUCUGCGCCAAGGUCUACCGUUUCGAGGACUUCGUGAAACUGUGGCAGGGACAGCUGAAAGAGAUUCCGGCGAAUUCGGUCACGGUGCACAUCCGCACGAUACUGGACAACUGGUCGCGCUGCGUGCCCCUGCUCAAGUACGUCCGCGGAGAGGGCUUUACCUCUGCCCACUGGACAGAGUUGUUCCAGCUGCUCAAACUUCGCAGCCUCACGCAGGACACAGUGAAGUUUGGCCAGAUCCUUGACCGCUACGAGGACAUCCUUAAGAACGAGGGCCCUAUCAAGAAGCUGCACAGCCGCGCGCAGGGCGAGGCACAAAUCCGCGAGGCGCUCGAUGACGUACGGGCCUGGGGCACGGGUGCCCGUUUUGUCCUCACGCCGCACCAGGACCGCGCCGGGGUUGUGCUGAUCACGGACUGGAAGGACACCAUGUCGGCGCUCAGCGACAACCGCGCGCUGCUGCUGAGCAUGAAAGAGUCACCGUACUUUGGCCUCUUCUCGAACGACGCCACCAAGUGGGAGGAGCGCCUCUCGACCCUCGACGAGUACCUCCGUCACAUGAAUCAAAUCCAACGCAAGUGGGUGUACCUGGAGCCCAUUUUCCGCCGUGGCGCCCUGCCGCACGAGAAGCAGCGCUUCGACCGCAUCGACUCGGCCUACCUGACCGUGAUGAAGGCGGUGGAGAACGACAGCCGGCUGAUGGCUCUUGCCGAGCACACGGAGUUUAAGGCCACGCUGCACGACGUCUCGGAGCAGCUGGAGCGGUGCCAAAAGGCGCUCAACGAGUACCUGGAGUCGAAGCGUGACGGCUUCCCACGUUUCUACUUCAUCAGCGACGACGAUCUUCUCGAGAUCCUCGCGCAGAGCAAGAACCCCAGCGUCAUUCAGUCGCACCUCAAGAAGCUUUUCAUGGGCAUUCACAGCGUCCAGUUCGACGCGCAGAGGGAGAACAUCCUGCAUAUCCAGUCACUCGAAGGGGAGGUGGUGACGCUGCUGAAGCCGGUUCGGGUCACGGAGGAGGUAGAGGCGUGGCUCUCCCAGCUGGAUGCGGGGGUGAAGGCGACGCUCAAGGCGCACGUGGCGCAGUGUGUGGCCAAGGCCGACAUCGGCACCUACGCCUCACAGGUGCUGUGCACAGCGGAGAUGAUCACCUUCACGCGCAAGGUCGAGACUGCGAUACGGGACCCUAUCGGCAGUGCCGCUGCGCUUCAGAAGCUGAAGAGUCAGCUGCAGACCCGGCUACGCGAGCUCACUGCGUACGCUGGCGGCAACAGCGAUGCGCUGGUCGGCAUCAAGCUGAAGGCGCUCAUCAUGGACCUCAUUCACAACAUCGAGGUGGUGCAGCUGCUCAUCGCGAAUGGCGUUGAUAAAGAGUCGCACUGGCUGUGGAAGAAGCAGCUCCGCUUCUACCUAGACAACACUCAGCAGUGCGUGCUGCGCAUGGUGGACGCGGAAUUCCGGUACAGCUACGAAUAUCAGGGCAACGCCCCAAAGCUGGUGCACACGCCGCUGACGGACUGCUGCUACCUCACCCUUACACAGGGCAUGCGGCUGGGCUAUGGCGGCAACCCGUACGGCCCCGCGGGCACUGGCAAGACGGAGUCGGUAAAGGCGCUGGGUAACGCAAUGGGGCGCCAGGUGCUCGUCUUCAACUGUGAUGAGGGGAUCGACUUCAAGUCUAUGGGCCGAAUUUUCACGGGCCUCGUCAAGUGCGGCGCCUGGGGCUGCUUCGACGAGUUCAACCGUCUUAAGGUCGACCAACUGUCAGCGGUCUCGCAGAUGAUCCAGGUCAUCCAGGAAGCCCUCAAGAACGGCGACAAGGAGUGCCAGCUGCUUGGCAAGAGCAUCAACGUCGACCCCAACGCUGGCAUCUUCGUGACGCUGAAUCCGGCCGGCAAGGGCUACGGCGGCCGGAGCAAGCUGCCAGAUAACCUGAAGCAGCUCUUCCGCUCUAUCUCGAUGAGCGCCCCGGAUAACGAGCUCAUUACAGAAACGAUCCUCUACAGUGAGGGGUUCGAGAACGCGACGCAGCUGGCGACCAAGGUUGUCGAGACCUUCACGCUGUGCAGUCAGCUCCUGUCCCACCAACAGCACUACGACUGGGGACUGCGCGCCAUGAAAGCGGUUCUGCGCCUUGGCGGCACGCUCGUCCACGACUUCUUGAUGGAGCGGGUGGCAGGCAAGGUUCAACUGUCUGCGGAGCAGAUUCUGCAGAAGGAGAGUGAGAUCCUGAUCAAGUCGCUUCGAGUCAACACGCUGUCCAAGCUCACCUUCGACGACGCCGUAAUCUUCAACACCCUCCUCAGCGACAUAUUUCCUGGUAUUCCGGUGCUGGAAAUCGACUACCAGAAGUUGCGACCAGCCAUCGAGGAGUCCAUCAAGGAGCUCAGGCUGCAGGUGGUGGAGGCACAGAUCCAGAAGAUUCUCCAACUGUACGAGGCACUGCAGCAGCGCAUGGGUGUCGUGCUUGUCGGACCAAGCGGGAGCGGCAAGAGUACCCUCAUGAAGGUGCUGCGCCGUGCGCUGCAGCGGCUCGGCACGAAGGUGCCGCUCUACGUCGUGAACCCCAAGGCUUUACCGCGUGAGCAGCUGCUCGGCCACAUGGACCCUGACACUCGCGAGUGGUUCGACGGUGUCCUCACGGACGCGGCGAGGAAAGUGGUGAAGGAGGAGGCGUCGGCGCGGUCGUGGAUCGUUUGCGACGGCGACAUCGAUCCGGCGUGGGUGGAGUCGCUGAACUCGGUGCUGGACGAUAACAAGCUACUGACGAUGCCGAACGGCGUGCGAGUACAGUUUGGCGACAACGUGAACUUCCUCUUCGAGACUCACAGCCUCGAGUUUGCUUCGCCGGCCACGGUGUCGCGCAUGGGCAUCAUCUACCUCUCCGAGGAGGACGUGGACCCGAAGAUGACGGUUGCCUCGUGGCUGGCAGAGCAACCAGAGGAGUUGCAGCAGCAGCUGCGGCAGUGGAUCGACGCCUACUUCUACAAGGCGAUCGACUUGCUGCUCUCUUCCGGGGAUCUUGUCGUGGGGACGACGCGGACAGGACUCGUGAUGUCCGGGCUCGUGCAGAUGAGGAACUGCACGACGAAGAAACAGUUUGUGCUGGCGCUGCUCUACGGACUGGGCUCCUACUUGCCGGAUGAGACGCGGCGCACGUACGCGAAAGAUAUCCUCCUCCUAGCCGAGGAGCGGGCCCCGGAUGCGAAAAACCCGCUGGACUUCCGGUACGACGAGGAUCGGCAGGACUACGUCUCACUGGAGUUCGUGCCGGCGGCGGACCUCGCCAUCGACGACCUGUACCGCCAUCCGAUGGUGUCGACGGUGGAAUGCCAGCGCGCGCUGGAUGUGAUGCGGGCGUGGACGAAGCCGACGAGCCCGGGCGUGUACCGUCCCUUCAUCUUGGUCGGCCCGGAGGGGUGUGGCAAGACGAUGCUGCUAAACAAUCUGUUUAUGAGCACGACCAGCACACGCGUCGCGAGCAUCAACUGCUCGGCACAGACGGAGGCAAUACACGUUAUUCAAAAGCUGAGGCAGGCGUGCUCCAUCUUUAACUCGAACCAAGGCAAGGUGCUCCGGCCCAAGGAGGCGGAGCGGCUUAUUCUCCUCCUGAAGGACCUCAACCUGCCAAAGCCGGACCGCUACGGCAGCGUCCAGCUGCACUCCUUUCUCCAGCAGCUUAUCCUGUACAACGGUUUCUACGACGCGGAACUCGAGUGGGUCACGGUCGAGCGGGUGCAGAUCGUGGGAAGCAUAAGCCCGCUCGGCAGCAUGGGCCGCCACCCCGUCGCGCCGCGUUUCCUAGCGAUCACGUCCGUCUUGAGCAUCUCAUACCCUUCCAAGGAGGCGCUGCAGCAGGUGUACUCGGAGUUCAUCAAGGUCAUGCUCGAAAGUGGACGGCUGAAGCUGAACAUGCCGAACAAGGGGGCGGCCGACUUGGCCCGCGGUGUCACCACCAUCUACGAGACCGUCGCCGCGCGCUGCACGGUGGACGUGGCGUCGCACUAUGUCUUCAACCCACGAGACAUCACCCUGUGGGUGUUGAACUUGCUGAACUACGACACCCCCAACAUCGCUGACGUCCUUGCAUACGAGGCGCGGCGCAUCUUUGUCGACCGCCUGGUGACUGCCGAGGAGCGUAUGCGCCUGGCCAAGGUCAUCCGCGAUAACGUGACGCUGCUUGUCGGCCACCGUGACGCGCCGUCAGAGAAGGAGAGCAUUUACUACGUGUCAUGGCUGGACGCGACGCGCGUCGGCAAGAAGCGGCUGUCGGGUACUACGCUCGAGGAAGUGAAAACGUCCGCGGAAGCGUUCGCCCUCAACUACUCUCGCGAGAACGCCGGGCUCAACGUGCAGCUUAUCCCGGAGGUGUGCGCGUGGAUCGCCCGCGUCGACCGCGUGCUGUCGCAGGAGCGCGGCAACCUAAUGCUGGUGGCGCGCGCCGGUGUGUGCGCGCCGCAGAUCGUGCGUCUCGUCGCGUACAACAACCGAACAGAGGUUGUGACACUCGGCAUCACGCGCGAGUACGGCGUCAAGCAAUUCACCGCGGAGCUGAAGAGUGUCAUGACGAAGGCUGGGGUGGAGGGGCAGAGCGUUGUGUUGCUGCUCGAGGACUUCAACUUCUUCCAUCCCUACUUCCUUGAGACGGUCAACUCGCUGCUCUCAUCUGGCGAGGUCGCCGGACUCUUCACCCAGGAGGAGCAGGACGCGUUGCUGAACCCCCUAAAGGACGAGGCAGCGGGGGAGGGCAUGAGCACCUACAACUUCUUUGUCGACCGCAUUGCCCGCUAUCUGCACAUCGUUGUUGUCAUGGACCCGACAAACCGCAACUACGAGCUGCAGUGCCGCGCCAACCCCGCCCUCUUCACUCGCUGCAACGUGUACUGGAUGGGGACGUGGGACAGCAGCAGUCUCAAGGUGAUACCGCGCAUCAUGAUCGCUGACGUCUACAAGGCGCUCGACCAGCGCGAGGACAAGAAAGAGUUCAGCCUGACGACGGAGCUCGUGCACUUGCACCGCUCCUUCGGAGAAAAGUUCGCUCCGCAGCACUUUAAGGUGCUGUGCGAGACUUUCGAUCAUGUGUUUCAGGAGAAGAGCCGCCAGGUCGCGGACGGGCUAGCUCGACUGAAGAGCGGCGUCAGAAAGCUCGACGAGGCGCAGGAGAACGUCGACAAGAUCGCGACGGAUGUGACUGAGAAAAAGCAGCUGCUGGAAGUGAAGCAGCAAGAGGCCGACGACGCGCUGAAGGAGAUCCAGAAGCGAAUGGAGGAAGCUGGCAACCAGAAGCGCAGUAUCCACAAGAUGCAGAAGGAGCUCGACAAAGAGCAGUCGGCGAUUCAGGAACGCAAGGUCGUCAUCGAGGGCCGGCUGAGCGGCAUUCAGCCGGUGUUGGACGCCGCCCUGUCGGCUGUCAGCUCCAUCCGCUCCGACCACUUGACGGAGCUGCGCUCCAUGGCCAAGCCGCCGGCAGCGGUGCAGUGUGUCAUGCAAGGUGUCGUGCUGCUGAUUGAGGCGGGAAAGGGUGCCGAAGCGGCUACGUGGCCUGCCAUACGCAAAGUCCUGGCUGGUGACAUCAAGGGCCAGAUUCUCAACUACGACAUCGACAACGUCGGCGCCGCCGCCCGGACGCAGGUGGAGAAAUUCAUUGCCUCCAACGUCGAGUACUUCAAGCGCGAAACCAUUGCCCGCGCCUCCAAGGCUGCGGCACCGAUGGCAGAGUGGCUCAAGGCAGUGGUCGAGUACAGCAAGGUGCUGGAGACGGUGGCGCCGAUGCGGGACGAGCUGAAGGAGUACGAGGCUAACCUGCAGAAGGGCCAAGAGGAGAUGACCAAGUACGAGGGCAAGCUGAAAAAGGUGGAGAAGAAGGUGGAGGAGCUCAAGGGCAAGUUCGGCGAGAAGACGGUCGAGGCGGAGCGGCUCAAGGACAAGCUGGAGCAGGCCGAGCAACUGCUCGAGAACGCCCAGGAGCUGCUGUCGAAGCUAGGGGAUGAGCACACGCGCUGGACGGCGCAGAUGAAGGCGAUCAAGCAGGACUCGUACUUCUUGCCGAAGCGCUGCCUGCUCGCCGCCGGCGUUAUCACCUACCUCGGCGAGGACCCAGAAGACACGCGCCGCGCCACCUUGUCGGAGUGGAAGGAACGGGUGAAGCUGCACGACUUCAACUUCUUCACAUUUCUGCGCGAUGAGAGCGUUCAGCUGCACUACAAGGCCGAGGGCCUACCGGGCGACGAGCUCUCCAUGGACAAUGCCGUCAUGAUUCACGAGCAGGUGAACACGCCGCUCAUCAAGGACCCCUCUGGUCAGGCGGUGGGGUGGCUGCAGGCGAACCUGAAGAAGCAGAAGGCGGUGGUGGAUGUCUGCAGCAUCUCCGAGGACCGCCUCGUCUCCGCGCUCGAGCUGGCGCUGCGGUUUGGGAAGAAGUUUAUCGUGUCGGAUGUGGACAGGGUCGAGCCGUUUCUGUACCCUAUUCUCCGCAAGGAGUUCCACAACGAAGGCACAAAGCGCGUCAUUCAGAUUGGCGACCGCCGCACCGUCGACUACGCGGAUGGCUUCCAGCUGUACCUCGUCACGCGAAGCACGGACCUGCAUGUGCCGCCGGAUAUCAUCAGCUACCUCACACCCAUUAGCUUCACCAUCACGCAGAGUGGGCUGGAGGGGCAGUUCCUCGGCAUCACGAUCCAGCACGAGCAGCCGCAGCUGGAGAAGGAGAAGCUCGACAUGCUCGAGAAGGAGGAGGGCCUCAAGAUGCAGCUGGCAGAGCUGGAGGAGCGGCUGCUGACGAACCUUGCCAACUCGGAAGGGUCGCUGCUAGAGGACACAACGCUGAUUGAGUCGCUGAAUCAGAUUAAGUCACAAGCGAGCUACAUCACCACGGCGUUAGAGCAGUCGAAAGUGGUGCAGGAGGACCUCGAUAGAAAGCGGAACGUCUACCGCCCCUUCGCCACCACCGCCAGCUCCGUCUUUUUUCUGACCAAGAGUCUGGAGGAGCUCUCGCACAUGUAUCAGUUCUCCUUCCAGCUCUUUCUCGACCUCUUCCUGCGGGCGCUGAAACGGCACAAGGACCUGCGCACCGACCCUGAGACAAAGAUCGCGGCGCUGCAGGAGACGUUCAUCCAGAUCACUGUGUCCGCCAUUGCGCAGUCGCUCUUCAAGGAGCACCGCGUCGUGUACGGCAUCCACCUGUGCCGCAACAUUCACCACGGCGCCUGCACCGCGGCCGAGUGGGACUUCUUCAUGGACAAGGCGAUUGCCGCGGAGGAAAAGCGGAAGGAGGUGCGCGUGCCGACCUUUGUACUGCCGGACAGCGUGCAGACAUUCCGCACCUUUGCGGCGCUGUUCCCCGACCUGGUCUCGAAGGCGCGCUUUCAGGAGGCAGACGUGUGGCUGCAAUGGAUGCGCGCCGCGACCCCGGAGUCGGAGUACCCUGACUUCCUCAAGUCACUCACGCACUUUCAGCGGCUGCUGCUCAUGAAGACGCUUCGCAGCGACCGCCUCAUCGCCGCCAUGAACGCGGUGGCGUGUACGCUGCUGAAGGUCGACUCCCUUGGCGAGAACGGCACCCUUGUCUCCGCCGUCGAGCAGUCCGACGCGAACCGCCCUGUCCUGGUGAUCACAUCCGCUGGUGCAGACCCCUCACAGGAGUUGCAGGCCAUCGCCCGUGAAACGAUGGGCCGAACGCGGUUUCACCAGCUCGCCAUGGGCAGCGGACAGACGGACGAGGCAAUGCGGCUGCUGCGCGAGUCUGCCGUGAAGGGCGAUUGGCUCUUCUUAAAGAACCUACACCUCGUCAUUCCGUGGGUGUCGCAGCUGCAGAAGGAGCUGAUGGUGCUCAAGCCAGACGCGUCGUUCCGGCUCUUCCUCACAAGCGAGGCGCACGACGAGUUCCCGUCGAUGCUGCUGGGCCAGUCUCUGAAGAUCACAUUCGAGCCACCGCCAGGGAUCAAGCAAAACCUGCUGCGCACCUACAGUGGCUGGGACGCCGCCUUUGUGAACGAGAAGGACGAAAAGCAGCGUCAGCUCCUCUUCGCGGCGGCAGCGCUGCAGGCGAUUGUUCAGGAGCGUCGCUCCUACGUACCGCAGGGCUGGACGAAGGACUACGAAGUCACUGCGGCAGACCUCAAGGCGUCCGUCGACAUUGUACUCCAUCAGUCGGCGUGCGGCGACAUUGACUGGUACUCCAUCCGCGGCAUCCUCAACGAUGCCAUCUACGGCGGCAAGAUGGAGACGCCCUUCGACAAGCGCAUCAUGGCAACCUACGUUGACAAGAUGUUCCGCGUCAACUGCAUGGCCGGCACGAAGAAGCAGGAACCGCUGUUCCACCACACACGCAUUCCAAGUGGUGAUUACGCCGAGUUCAUGAAAGUCAUCAAGAAACUGCCGGACAGCGAUAUCCCCGUUCUUUUCUCGCUGCCGCCCAACGCCGACCGGGCGGUGCAACUGUCGCGAGUGCGUGCCCUCACCGGCGACCUGCAGCGCAUCAGUGAGUCCUACAGUGAGGCGGCGUUGGACCGCGAAGCUUGGGCCGCGCGACUGACACCAGUCCUCGACACCUGGGCUGCUUUGACGGCCCGGCACGCCGACAUACUCGUGCCUCUGCCGUCCGCCCCGCCCAGCCCGUCGGCCCAUUCCACGCCCGCCGCUGCGCGAAAGCCGCUGGAGCGCUUUCUCGAAGCCGAACAUUUGACGGCACUGCGCUUGGUGACUCAGGUCAACGUGGCGGUGAGCGAUCUUCGCAAGGUGAUCGACGGUGGUGCCCUGCUCACGGAGAACCGUCGCACGGAGGCUGCCGCGAUGAUCCUCGGUGACGUCCCGGCCAGCUGGGAAGGUCACUUCCCCAGCGCGGCUCGCAUUUCCACCUGGAUGCAGGCGCUGGUCAGCAAGGCCGUCACCAUCGGCGAGUGGCAGAAGAUGAUGGCGAACGGCACCUUCACAAGUGCCACAGUCGACCUCUCCAAAUUCAUGCGGGCAAAGACUUUCCUGAAUGCGCUGCGGCAGGAGACAGCGCACGCCAUCCGGCAGCCGCUAGUGUCGCUGGUGCUGGUGGCGACCACGUCUACGCCCCCAGCCGACGCGCCAUUAGUGACGGCCCUGGAGGGGCUCAUGCUGCAGGGUGCUGUGCUGGACGACGCGGAUCUAUUAGAGUCCAUCGCCACCGCUGAUGAGCCGGCGUUUUUUCCCAUCAAGAAGGCCUUUGCUGCGUGGAUGGCAUCGCCGCCGAUGCUCAAGGCCUCGGUGCGAGUGCCUGUCUACGCGAACACCACAAAGGAGGACUACGUCUGCGACUUCGUGCUCCCGUGCGCGGACGAAGUAGCCGCGCAGAACUUUGUGCUCUCUGGCGUGUCGAUCGUGCUGGAGCAGUAGAGCCACACACAGCCGCAUCGCUCGCGGUUUUUUUUUUCAUGCGUCUGUGCGUGUGCGUUGGGGCUUCGCUAGCCCCAGAGGUUGCUCGCCUGCUUUCUAUUCUCCACCCGUCUCUUUUUCCUCGCACCACGAGCUGCGACAGAGCGCAACCGUUGCGCACCGACUGCCGGUGCUCUUGUAGCCUGUUUUUCUCUCUUUUUUUGUCCCCCUCGGACGCGUUGAGUUUUGCAGCUCUUCUCCUCCGCGUCGUCUCCGCCUGGGCAGUGCUUCAUGGGUUGUCUGGGACAACCUGCACGCGAUCGCUCGGUCGCCCUCUGUGGACCCCGUUGGUGGUGGUGGUGAGCGGUCGCUGCGUCUGGUGUGAGACGGCGCUCGCUUGCUUUGCGUUAGCUGUUCAGCGCAUCAACGCGACUGUAUCUUGACCUGGUGUAGACGGGGGUCGCGAACAAAACUAAAAGAGUCGGGCGCCUGGAAGGUGCAUAUCGCAUGCGGUCGUCAAGGUUGGUGAGUUGGUGCGUGCAUGUAUAUGGCGAGGGCGGCCCACGCACGCCCCCCCCCUCCCCCCUAGCACGGCGCCAGUCGUGCCGCGGGGCAUACCGCUCAUCAACGCCACGUUUCCUCUUCCAAGCGCGGACGCCGUGCCCUAUCUGCGUUGGGUGUGUGUAUUCUUUUUGGCUGUCUUCUUUGUGCAAUGUGAACGCUGCCGAUGUACUCAUACAAGCAUGUAAGCACACACGCAUGCAUACAUGACGGUGCUGAUCACAGUGUGUCGAUCCCCCCUCCUCCCUUCGGCAAACAAGCACGCCAGCAAGAUCGCGGUGCCUUCGUUAGAGCGUGCCUAUGUUUGCGCGUGUGCCUUGGUGUCGAUCCCGGCGAUUUGCUGCGGAAUCACCGCCGAAGGCCACUAUUGACGAGCACUUGGUGAUCAUUAGCGAGUGCCGAAGCGUCGGCCUUGCCGGUAAAGAGCAGUGGUCUGCCGUGUUGCCGUGGGGCCACACGCGCCUUCCCUCGCCCGACUCUACCCCCGGCUGUCUUGUGCUUUCUUCUGCCCACUCUCCACUCACCUCCCAUCCCAUCGUCGCUGAUAG